UCUGAAGAAACUUUUCCUGCCUCUCUCUCUCUCUCUCUUUUUUUCCUUUCUUCCCUCUGUCCCCACCUCCAGCCCAAGCUUGGCCAGCCUCUCCAGCUCUGACAGCUCUUAAAGGGAAAGUUACAGGGCUAUGAUUUCACACUGGGGCAGUAAAUUCUCACGGAAGGAGCCGGGGCCAUCCUGCCAAGCCUACGAAGGGAAUACGGGAGCGCGCACGGCUGCUCGGCAGUGGUGUAGGUUUGUGCGAGGGAGUUCGUGACCCCAACGGUGACUCCGACGGUCUCUCCAUUUGUCGGCCUCGGACUGGGCCUCUCACCCGAUUCUGGCCAGUGAGACAUAGAGAGAAAUCUGCUGGGGGCUCCUAGAAGGGAUGGCAUCCCUUGGGGGG
Molecule: long non-coding RNA, 388 nt
Organism: Felis catus (domestic cat)
Lineage: Eukaryota; Metazoa; Chordata; Mammalia; Carnivora; Felidae
Exons: 2
Source: RefSeq, a predicted model, not a curated record